This is an RNA transcript of Oncorhynchus mykiss (rainbow trout), 3844 nucleotides long. It is a transcript of the gene named ecto-NOX disulfide-thiol exchanger 2, with no coding region annotated. Lineage: Eukaryota; Metazoa; Chordata; Actinopteri; Salmoniformes; Salmonidae. The record is from RefSeq and is a predicted model, not a curated record.
UUGCACGUCGCGACUGGCAGGCUAUGCUUUCUUCACUUGUAAACAUCGGCUACAUGUAUUCGGGCAUGUAGUUCAUGUGAGCGCGAGGCUCCUCCAGCUGCAAGACCCUCCUUCAUUCUCGCACCGCAGCCCAGUCUGCCCAACCGAGCAGACUGAAUAACAAAUUACCUUUCUCUCAAUCCAAAGGAUUUGUAUUCUUUAAAUUCGCGUACUGUAGGCGACGAGCGCUCACCAUCCUCUGCUGUACGGGACUGUGGACAAUGUUUCUCUUGCAGUAUAGAGGACUGAAUCCGCUAUCCUUUGACCCGUCCUCCAACAACGAGCCCCUGCAGUUCAGCAACUCCAACGGGCCACUGGUGUCAGACUGUCCUCUGGAAAACGGAGCUGAGAACCGCAAUAAGAGGAAGAGACCCAGCCUACCUCCAGAAGGGAUUCAUAACAUGUCCAUGGACUCCAGCCCAAUGACAAUGCCUAUGUCAAACCCCAACGCCUGGGCCACAGCUAUGAAUAACCUGGGCAUGGCUCCCAUGGGCAUGACAGGACAACCCCUUAUGUCAGAUUUCGACUCAGGCCUUGGCAUGAUGACGGGCAUCGCUCCCAUGAACCCCAUGAUGCCUGGCCUUGGUUACGUACCCCCGCCCCCCCUUCCCCAAGAUCUGCCCAUCGUCAAGGAGAUCAUCCACUGCCAAAGCUGUACCCUCUUCCCCCCCAACCCACACCUUCCCUCUCCGGCCAUGAGGGAGCGCCCUCCAGGUUGUAAAACGGUGUUUGUGGGCGGUCUGCCAGAGAAUGCCACCGAGGCACUCAUCGUGGAGGUGUUUGGCCAGUGUGGUGACAUCAUCGCCAUCCGCAAGAGCAAGAAGAACUUCUGCCACAUCAGAUUCACUGAAGAGUUCACUGUAGACAGAGCCCUCUUCUUGUCUGGCUACCGUAUGCGUCUGGGCUCCAGUACAGAUAAAAAGGACACAGGGCGGCUCCAUGUGGAUUUUGCCCAAGCCAGAGAUGACCUGUAUGAGUGGGAGUGUCGUCAGCGCAUGUUUGCCAGAGAGGAGAGGCACCGCAGGAGAAUGGAGGAGGACCGUUUCAGACCCCCCUCUCCUCCACUCAUCGUCCAUUACUCAGACCACGAGUGUAGUCAGCUGGGAGACAAGAUUAAAGAUGAGGCAGCGUUUGCAGAGGCGGUGCGCGUGCUGCUGACGUGGGUGGAACGCGGCGAGGUGAACCGUCGUAACGCCAACAACUUCUAUUCCAUGAUCCAGUCGUCCAACAGCCACAUCCGCCAGCUGAUGUGUCAAAAGGCCACGCACGAGAAGGAGAUGGAGGAAGCCAAGGACAAGUUCAAGAGUGCUCUAUCUGGCAUUCUGGCACAAUUUGAGCAGAUUGUGUCUGUAUUCCACGCUGCUUCCAAACAAAAGGCAUGGGACCAUUUCUCCAAAGCUCAACGCAAGAACCUGGACGUGUGGCGCAAGCAAGCAGAGGAGAUCAGAAACAUGCAGAAUGAAGAGCUGAUGGGGAUCAGACGAGAGGAGGAAAUGGAGAUGUCUGACGAUGACAUGGAGGAUACACACAACCCUGACGAAUCAGGCCCUGUGUCCCAGGCGGAGGCUUUAAAGGAGGAGAAUGACUCUCUGCGCUGUCAGCUGGAUGCCUACAGAAACGAGGUGGAGCUGCUGAAGCAGGAGCAGGGCAAGAACCACGAACACACACCUCCACAACACAGUGAAGAGGACGCCUGCAGGCAGCAACAACUAACCUUUCUACAACAGGCACUACAGGGCAUGCAGAAGCAACUGUUGAAGAUGUGUGAAGAAAUGAAACAGCGGGAGGCAGAGAUGGAGAAGACUGUGGAGGACAAACAGCAGCUGGAGAGUCAAGUAAAGAGCCUCAAGGAAGGACUGCAGAGCCUGAAAACACUGACAACACACACACCACAGCUGGAGAUUUCCCUACAAGAUGACAGAGGGAGCAAGGAGAGGGCUAAUCAAGUCAAUCUGGAGAUGUCCCUGCAAGAGGACAGAACGAGUGAGGAGAGAGCUAAUCAAGUCAAUCAGCAAACCACCCUGCAUCCCACUGCUGGCUUGCCUCUGAAGCUAAGUAGGGUUGGUCCUGCUCGGGUCCCUGGAUGGGAGACCAGAUGCUGCUGGAAGUGGUGUUGGAGGCUCUCUUCCCUCUGGUCUAAAAAAAAUAUCCCAAUGCCCCAGGGCAGUGAUUGGGGAUAUUGCCCUGUCUUUCGGAUGGGAUGUUAAACGGGUGUCCUUACUGUCUGUGGUCACUAAAGAUCACAUGGCACUUAUCGUAUGAGUACGGUUUUAACCCCGGUGUCCUGGCUAAAUUCCCAAUCCAGCCCUCAUACCAUCAUGUCCACCUUACUAUCCCCUUUAACUAUCUCUCAGGUCGUUGUUGUAAAUGCAAAUGUGUUCUGUCAAUUUAUCUGGUAAAAUAAGGGUAAAUAAAUUAAAUCCUGGCUUGGUGAGUGAAAAUAAACGAAAAACCGCCACCUGCCGGAGAAGACAGAUUUCGCGUCGCUUUUUCCUCUCUGAGAGAAUGCAAGGAUGAGUAAGGAGUAUUUUCACAUUUUUAGACCUAAUAAUAAAACUCAAGAUUUUGAGGAAGUCUGUUCCAGUCAUAUUUUAAACAUUUUUUUAUGUGACAUGCAACAGCCAGAUUCGUCAGUGUGUGUUUGUGUGUCCUCUACCAGUCUAACAGUGUUUUCAACUCCUUUACUGUAGGAGGCAUCAGCGUUAGAAGUAGUGUCCUGCAGUCAGGAGAAGGAGAGUCUGCCCCCGGAGAAGAGUCCCUCCAAUCCUGUUCACUCUGAGAGAGAAGCCUUGCUAGUUGGGAUCAUCUCUGCAUUCCUCCAUGUCCAUCCGUUUGGAGCCAGCAUCGAGUACAUCUGCUCCUACCUACAGCAGCUGAACACCAAGAUAAAUACAGGGGAGGUGGAUGCUCUACUGGGUCGGCUGCCCUGUACAUUCAGACAGGAGUUGACGGGGGUAGGCGCCAGCCUGGAGAAACGCUGGAGGUUCUGUGGCUUCGAAGGCAUCAUGAUCACAUAGAGCAUUAUGGGGACACGGAGGAGGACAUCACAGGGACACAGAAGAAACAGCAUUGAGCUCAGGCUGAAUUAUUAGGACACUGUACUGGACCGGUACUGGUCCCUGAGACGUUGCUCACCGGUCCCUGCGAUGGUUAACUGGCCUUGGUUUAGUCAGUUCUUAAGAGCUAGUUAUAAUGUAAACAGUUUGCUGGUCCUAGGUAUAAAUAAGGUUGAGAAACACUGGCAUAAAGCUCUGGCUGUAUUAUUAGGACACAGAAGUAAAAACAUAGAGCUCAGGCUGCAGAGCAGGCUGUGACACUGAGGAAACAGCCUCUCUGUAUGGGUGACAGAGAGGGUGACUCGUCUGCAGGGUGAUGGAGAUCUCUAUAACACCACCAAAUCCACGAUGCUCUUCUCUGUGCCCAAUUUUGCAAAGCCUCAUGGGAUAGAACACCACAUUGGGAGUCCCAAAGGAGUAUCAGUCCGACGGCGCCAGGGCAUUGGCUGUUUGUCCUUCACAUGGGUGGACCAGACCAUUCCCAGAGCCUCUAAUUGGUUAACUCUGCUGUCACUCAGCUAGGAAUGCUACCCAAGGAGGUUAUCAGGAUCUGCUGAACAUUUUCCACCUCCCGCCCCUCUGGCCUCUCUCACUCUCUCUUUUUUUGUUCCUUGUUUUUAUAAUUCUAUGAAUAAAAAUCUAUAUGUUUCUUAAUUUUCUGUAAAGGCUGUUAACAGUUGCAUAGAUUGAUUUGUUUUACUACUCUGUAAAUGCUUGGAUGAUAUUUUUAAAUAAAAAAUAAAAGCAAU